AAUGAACGCUGGCGGCGUGCUCAACACAUGCAAGUCGAGCGAGGCGGAGGGGGGGCAACUCCUUCCAGUCGAGCGGCGGACGGGUGAGUAACACGUGGGUAACCUGCCCGGAAGUGGGGAAUACCUCGGAGAAAUUCGAGCUAAUACCGCAUGACAUCUUCGGGACGAAAGUCCUGACGAUCAAAGCGGGGUCGCAAGAUCUCGCGCUACCGGAUGGGCCCCGCGCCCGAUUAGCAGUUGGUGAGGUAACGGCUCACCAAGGCUUCGAUCGGUAA
Molecule: ribosomal RNA, 275 nt
Filed under: uncultured bacterium
Lineage: Bacteria
Description: partial 16S ribosomal RNA
Rfam family: Bacterial small subunit ribosomal RNA
Source: RNAcentral